GAUGAACGCUGGCGGCGUGCCUAAUACAUGCAAGUCGAGCGAACAGAUGAGGAGCUUGCUCCUCUGACGUUAGCGGCGGACGGGUGAGUAACACGUGGAUAACCUACCUAUAAGACUGGGAUAACUUCGGGAAACCGGAGCUAAUACCGGAUAAUAUAUUGAACCGCAUGGUUCAAUAGUGAAAGACGGUUUUGCUGUCACUUAUAGAUGGAUCCGCGCCGCAUUAGCUAGUUGGUAAGGUAACGGCUUACCAAGGCAACGAUGCGUAGCCGACCUGAGAGGUGGACGGGCACAAGGGGAGCUAAACCCGGGACAGGCCCCCGAGGGGGGGAAGCAGGGGGGGUGCGUCGGAAAGGGCGGAAGGCCUGAGGGACAAACGCGGAGGGAGGAAGAAGGUUUUGCGAUUAGUAAACUGUUUUAUUGGGGAAAAAAAAAAUGUGAAAGAACUACUCCGUGCCUGGAGGGUCCUAAUAAAAAAACCCCCGCUAACUCGCGU
RNAcentral lists this ribosomal RNA (496 nucleotides) under uncultured bacterium. RNAcentral's name for it is "partial 16S ribosomal RNA". It matches the Rfam family "Bacterial small subunit ribosomal RNA", at positions 28 to 506 of the family's 1533-position model. The record is from RNAcentral.